RNAcentral lists this long non-coding RNA (7837 nucleotides) under Ananas comosus (pineapple). RNAcentral describes it as "long non-coding RNA (ACOM_LNC019636)". Lineage: Eukaryota; Viridiplantae; Streptophyta; Magnoliopsida; Poales; Bromeliaceae. The record is from RNAcentral.
CGGAACCCCUGUCAAUCUCUGCCACAACCAGCAACCAAACAAAACCAAGGUCUACACAAAAAUCCACCAAAAUUCAUCAAUAUUUCAAAAAUUCAGCACUUAAGCUAAUAUCAUCCAAUUCCAAUGUCAACUUUACCUUCAAAACUCAAAUUCAGAUGAGAAGCAGUCUCAAAUCCAGAGAACUAUGAUGGAGUAUCAAUCUCAGGUUGCAAUUCCAGCUCCCUCCAAGAAUUAGUCCAAGAAAAUCAAAGAAACUCAAUUUCAGGUCCAAAAUCCGAGCAGCUCAGGAAAACACGAAAUUGACUAUACAAACCUCAAUAAAUUUCUGUCAAAAUAGGCUCCACGAAUUUCACUUGAAGUCCAGAAUCCAACAAAUCAAAUUUUGUGAAAAACGGAGCUUCCUAUGUCGCACACGGGCCAAAACGCCGAAGGUCGCUGUUGGAAUCUGCUGAAACUGCAGCCUUUAAACUUCAAUUUGAGGAAUUUGGAGUAAUUUGGGAAGUUUGGAGGGGUUGAAAUGCAAUUGUAGGCUUCACUGUGAAGAGGAGGUGAAAAGAGCUCACCAGGGACGUACUCUCUCUAUUUAUAGGGUGAUCAAACGGUCAGAUAAGCCUCAGGAACAAAAGAGGUUAACUUGCAGGUUCUGCAGAAAACCACACUUUUGGGCGCCCAAAACCCCUUUCUGGGCGUCCGAAACCUCCAGGCUACAUACUUGCUCCCCUUCGGUUCCUCCGGCAGUGGUGUGCUGCACCCAUAUGCGACUCCGGCGGAGCUCACCUACCACCAGCCACGUGUCAGCGCAAACGAUACUCACGAAGUAAAUUUUCGAACCCACUUCUGGGAGCUCAAAACAAGAAUCCGAAUUGGCUUCCAGUUCUACUCAGCUCGGCACUUACGUUCUGGGCGACCCAAACCAGUUCUGGGCACCCGAAACUAGCAAAACUCCAGUUUUGCUCAUUUGAGUGCGCAGAAUCCAUUUUUGCAUCUAUUUCGUACAAAAACAACUCCGACUCAGUCCGACACUCUCUAGAUGUGUCGACCAGUCACUAAUACUGAAGCCAAUCCUAUCCAAACCUCAGGAGCACUACAUCCUCCUCCAGUACAAAAAGUUUCGUCCUUGAAACUUAAAUUCAUACCUCAAACCGGCGCAUCAAACAAGUAGGGGUAGGAUUCCCUCAUCACUGUCUCAAGCUCCCAUGUCGCCUCUCGCUCCUCGUGAUUACUCCACUGCACCUUUACAUAAGGAAUGACCGAGCUGCACAAUUCUUUCGUUUCACGAGCUAGAAUUCGCACCGGUCGCUCCUCAUAUCUCAGGUUCUCGCCCAGUUCAAGCGGAGUGAAGUCAAUCACGUGAGAGGGAUCGAACACAUAUUUCCUCAAUGCUGAGACAUGGAAAAUAUCGUGAAUACCGGCUAGUCGUGGGGGUAGAGCAAUCCUGUAGGCAACUGGCCCAACUCGCUCCAACACCUGACCAACAGAGCGUGGACUGAGCUUUCCAUGCACUCCAAAUCUGCGUAUGCCUCUGGGCGGCGAGACUUUCAGAAAUAUAUGAUCUCCAAUCUGGAACUCUAAGUCUCGUCUCCUGAUAUUGGCGUAGCUCAUCUGGCGGCUCUGGGCUGUCAAAAGGUGUCGUCGCACUGCACUAACCUUUUCCUCUGCCUCUUAUAAAAUUUCAAGUUUUAGCGUCUUUCUUUCACCCACAUUACUCCAAAACAAAGGGGAUCGAUAUUUGUGUCCAUACAACGCCUCAAACGGAGCCAUCUGAAUGCUCGUUUGAUAACUGUUGUUGUACACAAACUCAACCAGUCUCAAAUGUCGAUGCCACCCUCCUCCAAAGUUUAGGAUGCAUGUCCUCAACAUGUCCUCCAGAGUCUGAAUGGUCCGCUCUGACUGACCAUCCGUCUGUGGGUGAAACGCCGUGCUGAAAUGCAACUGUGUACCCAAGACAGUCUGAAGACAUCUCCAAAAGUGCAAAACAAAUCUCGGGUCUUUGUCAGAUACGAUUGAAAUCGGCACACCAUGCAGCCUAACAAUCUCAUCCAGAUACAGCUGUGCGAGUCUCUCCCUGGACCAAGUGGUCUAUACUGGUAGGAAAUGAGCAGACUUAGUCAGUCUGUCCACUAUCACCCAAAUAGCACCCAAAUAGUCAAUCUGUCCACUAUCACCCAAAUAGCAUCGAAACCACCCUGUGCUCUAGGCAAUCACACGACAAAGUCCAUCGUGAUCUGCUCCCAUUUUCACUCGGGCACUGGCAGACUCUGAAGCUUGCCAGCAGGUACCUGAUGCUCUGCCUUUACCUGUUGAGAAGUGAGAUACUGGGUUACAAAUCUGCCAAUGUCUCAUUUCAUUCCAUUCCACUAGAACUGUGCCUUUAGAUCCUUAUACAUCUUGGUUCCACCAGGGUGAACCGUAUAAGGUGAACAAUGAGCCUUUCUCGAAAUAUCCUCUCGGAUCUCUGAAUUCAUAGGCACAGACAGUCGGUCCCUGUACCGCAGUACUCCCAAACUGUCCACUGUAAAACCCUCUGCAUGUCCUCUCUCUAACUGCUCUCGAAUCCUCAGCAAGUGUGAAUCUCCACUCUGUUUCUCCUGGAUCCUACUCAACAGAGUGGGCUGCAAGACCAUAGACAUCAGUCUUGCAGUAGAUCCAGGGGACACAACCUCGAGUCGCAACCGCUGCAACUCCUCAAGUAACGGCCUCUACUGAGUAAUCAUCAGGCUCAAACUCUACACUGACUUCAGCUCAACGCAUCUGCCACCAUAUUUGCCUUGCCGGGAUGAUACUGAAUACUAAUAUCAUAGUCCUUCAGUAACUCCAACCACCGACGUUGCCUCAAAUUCAACUCCCUUUGGGUGAACAGAUACUUGAGACUCUUAUGAUCAGUAAACACCUCGCAGCGCUUGCCAUAUAAGUAAUGCCGCCACAACUUUAAUACAAAAACCACUGCGGUGAGCUCCAAGUCAUGCGUAGGGUAAUUCUUCUCGUAAUCCUUCAAUUGCCGUGAAGUAUAAGCAAUUACCUUACCAUGCUGCAUCAGCACACAGCCCAAACUACUGUGCGAUGCAUCACUGUAGAUCACAAAUCCUUCCCCCAUCACUGAAAGGGCAAGGAUAGGAGCCGACGUCAACCUCUGUUUCAACUCAUCGAAGCUCCUCUGACAAUCCUCACUCCAGUGAACUUAAUUUCUUUACGAGUCAAUCGAGUGAUGGGUGUGGAAAGCUUCGCAAAGACUUCCACAAACCGACGGUAAUAUCCAGCAAGUCCAAGGAAACUCCUCACCUCCGUCACCGUCGUCGGUCUGGGCUAAUCCUGAAUAGCAUCAAUCUUCUUCAGGUCCACUGUUACUCUAACUGCAGAAAUCACAUGGCCCAAGAAAGCAACCUCCAGUAACCAAAACUCGCACUUCUUCAACUUGGCAUACAACUUCUUCUCUCUCAGAAGUUGUAGCACAAUCCUCAAGUGCUUCUCAUGCUCGGUAUCACUCCGGAAGUAUAUCAAGAUAUCAUUUAUGAACACCAUUACAAAUCUAUCCAAGAACGGCUUGAAUACUCUGUUCAUCAAAUCCAUAAAUGCGGCAGGGGCAUUUGUCAAUCCAAAAGGCAUAAGAUAAACUCAUAAUGCCCGUACCGAGUCCGAAAAGCCGUCUUGGGAACAUCCUCGACCCUCAUCCUCAACUGGUGGUAACCUGACUGGAGAUCUAUCUUCAAGAAGACACAAGAUCCUUGCAGCUAAUCAAACAGAUCAUCAAUGCGCGGCAAAGGAUACUUAUUCUUGACGGUCACUUUAUUUAGCUCUCUGUAAUCCACACACAAUUUAAGUGAACCAUCAUUCUUCUUCACGAAUAACACCGGCGCUCCCUAAGGCGACACACUGGGUCUCACAUACCCCUUAUCCAUCAGAUCCUGAAACUGCGCCUUUAGUUCUCUCAGCUCUGCCGGUGCCAUCCAGUAAGGUGCCUUCGAGAUUGGUGCAGUUCCCGGAACUACAUCAAUCACAAACUCGAUCUCUCUCUCCGGCGGCAUUGUCGUCAACUUCGGGAGAAACACAUCCGAAAACUCGCGGACUAUAUGGAUAUCCUCGAGUCCCGGCGCCACCGUAGGCACCUCCACAACCGUUGCCAGAAAAGCAACACAUCCUCUACUCAUCAGCUGUCGAGCCCUCGUCGAAGAUAUCCAAGUGGCAAACAACGUACUCCUACAGCCUCUAAAAGUGAACUCCUCCUGACCUGGCUCACGGAACGUCACAAUCCUCGCUCCACAAUCAAUAGUAGCAUAGUACUGCACCAGCCAAUCCGUGCCGAGCACAACGUCAAAGUCCUGUAGCUGCCCUAAAACCAACAGAUCUGCGGGUAUGAUCCACGAAUCUAACUGCAUCGGACACGACUAACAACACUACAACCUAUAAAACAUGGUCGGGGAUCUACACCUCUCGUGCCUGUGACAAUGACCCUAACUCUAGACCAUGCAACAAUACAAAUGCUCGGCUAACAAAAGAAUGCGAUGCACCAGUAUCAAAAAAGUGUACGAGCUCUAAUGCCGGAAAUCAAAAUGAUACCUACCACCACUGAGUCGGCUGCUGUAGAGUCCUCCACCUGAGCUGCAUAUACCCUGCAACUCGGAGCCUGCUGUCGCCGCUCACCCUGACGCGGCACAGAUACUCUAUCCUCCUGGCGGUAACUCAGUGGUGCUCUGUAAGACUGCUGGGGUGCUGGCUGAGCUGAUGCUGUCGAUGGUGCUGGUGAUGCUGCUCGGGGACAAGCUAACCUCAUGUGUCCAGGCUAACCAUAAGUAAAACAACGGCCCUUUCUCUGCUAGCACUAUCGGGACCAAUGUGGUCCCCCACAGAUCACGCACUGUGGAGUCCGCUGUGCCUGUCGUUGCUGACGGGAUCCCCUGGAACGUUGACGCCCCGAAGACCCACGACCCUGAGAACGUGAUCGUGGAGGCCUCGGCGGUCGUCUGCUACUCGACUGUCCUCCGUCCUCUGGAAAGGGGAGCUUCCUGUCCUAACUCUGCCCCGGCACCUGAGUCCUCUCCCGAAUAGAUGCAUCACCUCUCUCUACCCACAGGGUCUGCUCGAUAGAUGCGUCCAAGGUCCUCAACCUCUGCGCUUGCAUCAACCGAAAAAUCUCCAGUCUUAAACGUCGCUCAAAAAGGUAUACCCUGUGCGCUUCAUCUCUGGCCACAAAAGGAAUACAGUUCAGGAGUCGAGUAAACUCACGGAUGUACUCCUGAACUGUCCGCUCCCCUUGCUGGAUCUUCUUCAGAUCCUUCUCGAGUUUCUGCUUUACACUGUUGGAAAAAUACACCCCAUGCAGCAUGCCACAGAACUCAUCCCAUCUCAUCUACGAAGCUACCAGCCUAUAGUCUCGCCUCACUCUCUCCACCAAGCAUGUGCAUCACCUGCCAAGCAGUGAACUCCUAGGUGUACCUGCUCCCACUCAGGAAUGAACAGAUCCUCAAACAGUUUCUCCAUCGCGCUGACCCAACCCUCAACAACCGAGGCCUCUGUGCAACUGCCAUCAUAGGUCGGCGGAUCAAAACGACGAAAGUGGGCAAGUCUCUCUGCCAUCCACUCCUGCUCAGCCUCAGUCAGCUGUGGUGCCUCACCAAAAGAUGCAACUGGCGCUGCGGGAACUGCCGCUGGUCGAGGUACUGCUGCAGCUGGUGCGGCCGCUCGAGUAGUCGGGGGUGAAACUGGCUGCUCUGGUGUUGGACUCUACGGCGGAGCUAACAUCUCACACAUCAUCUGUAAUAACGCCCCCUGCUGCCUCGUCACCUCGGUCAAGGCAGCUAACUGCUCACUAAGAUCAGGUGAUGCACUAACCUCUGGUUGUGCACUGGGCUCUGCCUGCUCAGACAUCUCAGGAGGUGCGGCACGAUCCCUGGUCGACGGUCGACCUCGGCGACGAUACAUAGCUGUCAAGAAAGAAAAUAAGGGUCAGAUAAAAGACAAACACUCUCGACCCAAUCAAACGAAAGUCUAGAAGGCGGCCCCUAUUUCUCCUCAAAAUUAUGUCGUCUGCAGCCAACAUAAUUUUUUUGGACCGAAGCAGGCACUCCUUCGAUCACUCACUCCGAUCUAGAAGGAGGUAGAAUAAUCAAUCACUGACUUUCGCGAUAAAUCACGCCUCUCACGUCUUGCCUUCCUAAGGUUUGCCAAACCUAGGGUUCUUAAGUUCCAACGACCUAAUGCUAAGCUCUGAUACCAACUUAAUCUGUCACGCUCCGGAUUCCUCGUUUUCCCGGGCACGCUAAUAGACCCGCCGUAUACAAAGGAAUUUUCCUUGUAUACGAAGCGAAGCUGUACCUGUACCUGAAUCAUACAACACUACAAUCAGUAGUAUAAAGCUGUAGAAAUAAAACAUAACUGAACAAUAGAAGUUCACUAUACAUACAUAGCAUCCUGGUAUACAAAAAUUACUCGCUCCAGCGAGAUACAACAUCAGUAUGUAUAAUAAACCAAACACUACAACUACCUGCAGCUGAUACUCCUCUAGCUGAGUAACUUGGCAGGAAGGGCUCUAACUCGCAACACCCUUUCCGCGAUCAGAAUCAGCAGUAGCAGCAGCCGCAACCGAAGGCUCUGCAAAAGAGGGGUAACAAAUGGGCGUGAGAACUACUGCAAAAACAAGUAGUCCUCAGUAAGUACCGCCCUCAACUCAUCAGCUCACCUACCAAGUCUACAGAUUAUAUGCUCAAAUGAUAGUAAAGAAACUAGAAACAGUCUACAUUUACAUGCCACUAUACUAUCAUGAACCGACAUUACUAUCUGUAGAAUAAUGCGAUCUCCGACCGAAUCUCACUAGGGACUGUGUACACACCCGUCCCAGGGACUAUGAAUACACCCGUCCUGCCUGUCGAAGCUAUACAGCUACCUCCACACUAAGCAGUCCGUGAAGAGCAAGUCCAACCAAGACACAUUGACACCAACGCAACAGCACAAAAUCUGACUCCAGAGUGGCACUCGUGGGCGCUACCCAACCGAGUAUGGAAGCGUAUCUCUGUCAAGCUCAAUCAGGCUCUCACAGGCUAAAAUCCAAGUAAAUAGAGUCCAACUGGUCUAACAACCAAUCUCACGUGCCCACGGCAUAAUCUGAUGUAAAAACAGCAAUCUGGGUCCACCGUCAACUUCAACGGUACCCGACAGUCCGGAACAGCAUAAACACUGAUGUAAAAAUAAGCUCGGCAUCUCAGCACGAGCGUAAAUACAUUCUACACUAUUCUGGGUAUCCACCGCCCACAAACUGCGGUGAUACAAACAAACUACGGCUCCUAGAGCUAAAUUUGGUAGUUUUAACAUAUGACAGUGUAGAAGCGCUAGUUUUUUCCUAAGUCAAUUCCAAGUCCAACAUAUAUAAUUUAUCUAACUUACUACAGCAUGCUCUAAAUUCAGAUUUCAUUUAACAUGCUAAUCGAUGAAUUCGAGCUAAAAACAGGAUAUACAACUGAUGAAAAUAUACAUGUUGACUACGCAUACACUUAGGAGGAGAAUCCGAUGAUUAACCCACCUUAAGUGCUAAAUCCAUGGCAGCGAGGAGUCGCCGGAAUCCCUGUCAAUCUCUGCCACAACCAGCAACCAAACAAAACCAAGGUCUACACAAAAAUCCACCAAAAUCCAUCAAUAUUUCAAAAAUUCAGCACUUAAGCUAAUAUCAUCCAAUUCCAAUGUCAACUUUACCUUCAAAACUCGAAUUCAGAUGAGAAGCAGUCUCAAAUCCAGAGAACUAUGAUGGAGUAUCAAUCUCAGGUUGCAAUUCCAGCUCCCUCCAAGAAUUAGUCCAAGAAAAUCAAAGAAACUCAAUUUCAGGUCCAAAAUCCGAGCAGCUCAGGAAAAU